GGGAGGCAGAGGAAGAAAGGGAUUAACUGGAAUUUUGAGCUUUCUAGCCCCUCAGGUUAUGACCUAACUAAUUCUGCCCUUUUGAAAGGCCCGGCUUUGUGGCUGCUACUGAAGCAAGUGGAAAUGUAGCAGGCAGAAUUUGGGCCUGUGUUUGAGGGCUCCUCCCUCCUUUUGGUACCACAGCCACUGGCCCCUGGACCAAGUCAUGGAGUAACUUGAGACUUUCCUCUCAGGUGACAUGCCCCAAUUCAAACCCAACGUCCCUCUGUGAUUCGGGAAGUUCAAAAGAAAAAGCAAAUAAACUGCAAUUAUUUUAUUACCAGGAAGAUAAUCUCUACCUGUGAAACAGGAAAAUGGUGGAGCUCAAGAACACAACUGUUUCUCUGCACUCUGUCUGGACUCUACUCCUGUCUCUUCUGUUCAAUAUUGUUUUCUGAUGGAGGGGCCUGCGGCCCUGGGUGAGGCACCACUGGAAAUCCUGAGACUUUGGAAGCCACUCUAAUAAUUUCUCUAUAAACCCAAGUCUCAGUCUGAAAGUCUGUGGCCAAACAGGCAAAUAAGCAGUCAUCUUGGAGUGCCAGCUUCUUUCUGUUCAGUCAGAUGCACCAGCUAAUGUUGAAGGGGGCUGGAGUCUGCAGUCUGCCUUAGGGAAUUUUGAAUGCGACCCAGUGUGGUAGGUGUGCUCAAAGGCAACCUACCAGAAGAGGUCCUACACAUGAGAUAGAAUAUCCUGGAUUGUUAACUAUCACCAUCAGGAAGAGAAAUACAAAAACGUAUACUACAUGAACAGAAUCUCUAAAGCACUGGCUUUGAGAAUAUUAAAGGACAUCAAUGGAG
Mauremys reevesii (Reeves's turtle) is the source of this 837-nucleotide long non-coding RNA. RefSeq lists it as uncharacterized. The transcript is spliced from 4 exons. NCBI's taxonomy places the organism in Eukaryota, Metazoa, Chordata, Testudines, Geoemydidae. The record is from RefSeq and is a predicted model, not a curated record.